This 203-nucleotide long non-coding RNA is filed under the name Mytilus galloprovincialis (Mediterranean mussel). The record is from RNAcentral. Lineage: Eukaryota; Metazoa; Mollusca; Bivalvia; Mytilida; Mytilidae.
AAACGCUACAUUUGUUUCUAACUUCAAUCUGAUUAAACGAUGUAUUUGUUUCUACGUUUGUAAAAAAGUCUGUUUACCAACAAAAUGUGCAUGCAUUAUUGAAGUUCAAACAGGGUCAGUAAACACUGAUUAAACGAUGUAUUUGUUUCUACUUUUGUAGCGUUUAGAAAACAACAUCAAACGCCAAACAACGUUUACAAAAU